UCCCUGGUGGCUCAGACGGCAAAGCAUCUGCCUACAAUGCAGAAGACCCAGGUUCGAUCCCUGGGUGGGAAA
This 72-nucleotide transfer RNA is filed under the name Bos taurus (domestic cattle). It matches the Rfam family "tRNA". From Rfam's summary of the family: Transfer RNA (tRNA) molecules are approximately 80 nucleotides in length. RNAcentral also lists the same sequence under 3 other names. The record is from Rfam by way of RNAcentral. Lineage: Eukaryota; Metazoa; Chordata; Mammalia; Artiodactyla; Bovidae.